CUUGACAAAUCUAGGAGAUCGGUAAGUUCUGUUUCCUUCUUUACAAGAGGAAAAUAGAUACCCUCCACUGGUACCUAUGCAAGAAUGUUCGACAUUUCCUCAGGACCAAAACCCUUUUUUUGUUGAUAUGAAAAUGGGAUAGAGGGAAACAAAAGUAUAUUCAGAUAAAGUGUACCGAUACAAACACUUAAAAAAUUCAAAAAAACCAUCGCCAUGACGAAAAUUUUUGAUUUUUCUCAACAAUUAUAACCUCUCGUCAGGUUUCAAGUCGAAAGUGUUGAGUGCGCAGUUCGCCCAACAAUUUGAUCAAACAUAUUGUCUGUUCAUCGCUUUGCUCAACCUGUGCUUUGAAGCCAGCGAGACGAUAAUUUUAAGGGUCACGUAGAUGAAUGUCGAAAGUAGAACUUUCCCUUAUCGCUAAGGGACUGCCGGAGCGCCUAUGGUAUAACCAUACCGACAUUCAAAGGAUCUAUUAUAUUUAUCUGUGUAUUCUUUCGGAUGUUUGUAGUCUCGUGGAAGUUACGGCACUGGAAGGGACUGCUCAUGUUCUCCAAGGACAAAUGUGAGAACAGGAGUAAAGUUAAACACGGGUAUUUCAGGGCCGGUCUUGGCCAGUACCAGAUCGCUUCUAAGGCCAACCGAAAGAUCAUCCCCGGAAAAUGUCAGUGCAUGGUAUCACCGGAGCUUAGGAAGUAUAUCACACAAAAACACAGCCUCAAGUGGGAUAUUCAUCGAAGCUGCGUUUCUACAAAGGGAUCCUCAUGCUCGGGAAGAACCGGUGCGUGAAUCGAUGCCGGCUCAAACAUGGGUACUUCCAAGACGCAGCGGGUGACUAUAAACUUGCCUCCGUGGCCAAAAGAGGCAUCGUUCCCGGAAAGUGUAUGUGCAUGGUAUCACGGAGCCUCAGAGCGUAUAUCACUCAAAAGUUUGGCGCAGAGGUCGCAAAGAAAUACGGACGCCUGAACUUCUUCGGCAAAACUCGGCAAGGUCGGGAGGCUCUGAGGAGGCUGGCUGGUAAAGACAAGGGGAUCACCUUCCUCACGUACGAGCAGUUUAACCAGAUGGUCGCGGAUCCGAACAACGCCAACGCCCAGCAGAGACAGCAGACUGGCGGAACCGCCGAAACCACCGAUCAGCAAAUCACAAUACCCAAAAUCCUGGUAGACGAGGUGCAACCGGAUGGUUCCACGAAGCAGGUGGAAGUCGACCUAACGCCCGAGGAAAUCCAGAGGGUACAAGGUUUCUGGAGGGACGUCAUGGAGAGAAAGAAUAAGGAAGCGACGGCGCAGACCGCAAAAACCGCCUGAAUCAUUUGGCGAAAAACUGAAAAUUAUUGGAGGGGUAGCAAUAUUAUACGAAACUAGGGUGUAGAGAAAAUACAGAAGGUGGUGGCAAGUGGAGAAAUGUACUUUUCUACGUCACAGCUAAAAAUUAAGCCACCCUUCUUAUUGGUUAAUAGUAUGAAAAACUGAAAAUUAUUGGAGGAGCAGCAAUAUUAAAAACUAGGGUGUAGAGAAAAUACAGAAGGUGGUGGCAAGCGGAGAAAAGUACUUUUCUACGUUACAGCUAAAAAUGAGUCCACCCUUCUUAUCGGUUAAUGGUAUCCGGGAAAACCGAGACCGCUUUGAAAUUUAGAAAGGAGCGGGAAAGGUUGUGAGGUUUCUACUUAUUUUGGCUCUAAAAACUCGUAACUAUUGACUUUUUAUGAUUCAAUAUAUUUAUCUACCAACGCUUAACUGUGACUGAAAAUAAUUUGUAAGUUAAAAGUUCAUAUUUCAUAUGACAAACAAUUUUACCUCGAUUUGUCCCGUUUUGAAGGUAUAACCAGGAUAAAUCACGUUCUGUACGUCAAAAGGCUGGAAUUGGAGGGUCAUGGUAAUGGUAACUAAGGUACAAACGACUUUCAAUGUUAGAUUCAGUGGCGAUGUAGGUCUUCAAUUCUUCAUACAGGUACCAUUAAGAAAUGCACUUUUAAUUUGAACAGCAUGGCAGUCCGUGCACUUUUCUACGUCAUAGCCAAUCUUCCAGAUGGCUGCCUUGCCCCACUUUCUGUAUUUUCUCUAUGAAACUAGGGGGCUACCCCCUGCCGCUUCGCGGCCCAACCCUCAAAGGGCGCCUAGCGCACUUCAAACCUGCUUCGCGUACUCUUGUAUGUACCUUUGACUAAAUACUAGCUAUUCGGGGCGUGAGAAGAUGGUUCUCCUGCACACUUCAUAGGUUCUUCUAUUUAUUUUUCCGCUGUUAAAGACAAAAUAUUCUAUUGUGGUACUUCACAAGUAACCAUUGAGGAAACGAACCUUUCGAAUUCGAAGAAAACCUUUGUUAAGGGGUUAUAUCAGGGUGGCAAAAUUUCAUGAAAAUAAAAUUGUAACUUCACGUGAAGCAUUACUUUAAAUUUCAGAGAUUAAUGAAAGAUAUUGAAAAAUACCGGUUUCAUUUCAUGUUUCGCAGAAUGUAAAAAUUGUGACUUUCUUCUACUUUUGCGUGUUUGAGUGCGGGUUGCGUACUCUAACCUCUGAAAUAUAUGAAAUAAUUGAC
This 2538-nucleotide long non-coding RNA is filed under the name Bemisia tabaci. RNAcentral's name for it is "lncRNA ENSSSA2NGG006602". The record is from RNAcentral. Lineage: Eukaryota; Metazoa; Arthropoda; Insecta; Hemiptera; Aleyrodidae.